CCUACGGGCGGCAGCAGUGAGGAAUAUUGGUCAAUGGGCUUACGCCUGAACCAGCCAAGUCGCGUGAGGGAAGACUGCCCUAUGGGUUGUAAACCUCUUUUGUCAGGGAGCAACGCCGGCUACGUGUAGCCGGACUGAGAGUACCUGAAGAAAAAGCAUCGGCUAACUCCGUGCCAGCAGCCGCGGUAAUACGGAGGAUGCGAGCGUUAUCCGGAUUGAUUGGGUUAAAAGGGUGCGUAGGCGGAAUGCCAAGUCAGCGGUAAAAUCGCGGGGCUCAACCUCGCUCAGCCGUUGAAACUGGCGUUCUUGAGUGGGCGAGAAGUAUGCGGAAUGCGGGGUGGAGCGGUGAAAUGCAUAGAUAUCACGCAGAACUCCGAUUGCGAAGGCAGCAUACCGGCGCCCAACUGACGCUGAAGCACGAAAGCGUGGGUAUCGAACAGGAUUAGAUACCCUAGUAGUC
Molecule: ribosomal RNA, 460 nt
Filed under: uncultured bacterium
Lineage: Bacteria
Description: partial 16S ribosomal RNA
Rfam family: Bacterial small subunit ribosomal RNA
Source: RNAcentral